GUCACUAGGUUUUGCUCUGUGUAAAUUUAUGUUAUGCUGGAGGUGUAGCUGAGGGGUAGAACUCUUCCCUGGCAUACAUGAUGCCCUGAGUUAUGUCCCCAGUACUGGCCCCAUUCCCCCCAGAAGAAUGUCUAAAAACAGGGACAAUUGCACUUCUUGUAACUUGGAUGUCUUUUAUUGUUCUCCUUUUAAUUGCUCAUUAGGACUUUCAGUACUAUGUUGAAUGAACAGAAGGGACAUCAUUGAAGGCAAUGAUCUAAUCUUAGCGGAAAAUCUUGCAGCUUUUCACUGCUGAGAAUGUUAGUUUUGGGCUUGUCAUAGAUUAUCUUUAUUGUGUUGAGGUACAUUCUUCCUAUACCUAAUUUGUUGCAAGCAAAUAUGAUAAAAGAAGCUCAGUCCAACAUUUAGUUAUAGCAAUUUCAUAUGAUUUCUGUGAUUAUUUUCCAAAUUAAUUUCAUUUUGCAGUUGUUCUGGCACCACAGUACUUUCAGACUGCAAACAUUUUCACAGGCUUUGAAAGGCUUGGUGGCCUUGGGCAUGGUGCUUACCAUAUCCAAGGACAACAUAGCUCAGAUACCUUGAGAAACUAGCUGGGGACCUUGUAUAGUGCAGCACUGACCCUUAGACCCAGCCACAGGCAGUGGCAAGACCCUGCAUCACUGUGGACAGACUAAAGUCUAGGUCAAAGGGAAGAAAAAAUCUUUUCAUACUGUCUCCUGACAAUAAUUAAUUGGGGCAGGAAGAAUGCAGUAAAGAUAUUUCUAUUUCUAUGUAUAUACUCCAGGAUAGGGCAGAGGUAAGAUGCUCUGGGGCUGCAGGCACUCAACAGAAACACCCAAAACACUGUGGACCUCCUGGGCCAGGUGGCAACGAGGCAUGUGCAUAAGCCACAGACCGGCAGGCAGGGAGCACCCCCAUGUUCUACGGAGAACAACAGAUGGCAAACACAGUGCCCUUGUGCCUAGAUCACAGUAGUCCACACCAAUCUCUGGAAUAGAGUGGAUUUCACUCCUCUGGCCAACAAGAGUAUGGCUCCCUGACUGUGGAACAUCAGAGGGUAAAGAACUGCUACUUUUGGAGCUCUCAUCCAACUGCUGAGGUCCACUUCACCACAUGACUUUGGUUUGGUGUAGUCACUCUCCAGAAGGAGCAGGCUUGUGGUGCUGGAAGUUGUGGUGAAGGUGCAUCAGAGGCCGCCCUUCAAGGAUGCCUGCAGGAGCGUAGUUGGCCACUAGUUUCCAGCUGCAGCACCUCUGCUGCAGAGUUCAGAAUGAGGCCUCACUCUUCCCAGUUAAAUCUCAGCCAAUGCCUAACCACUUGUCAUGGUCAGAGACAUGGAUGCCUUGCCAUGCCCACCCAACACAAGACUCCUUAGUGAAAAAUUUGGUCCUGGAAGCCCUGCCUGGACUGUCCAGGCUUCUCUGAGCUGCAUGGCACUUUGAGACUCUCCCUACAUAGUACUCUUUCCUUCCUUCUUUUAGGUAUCAGAUUUGUAUCAUGGGCUGAAGGCUGUUGUCUUGAUUCCUCUCUCUUCUUCCAAUAAAUCCUUUGCAUUCUUCCUCCACCCUGGCCUGCUUCCUGAGGACCCAAAGUAACAGAACUACCUACCCGAGUGUGAUUGGAGAAAGCUGACUGGCUCAUUCUCUUAAAACAUUAAAGUUUAGCCAAAAAAAAAAAAAAAAAAAUCCUCCUAAAAUGUGGCCAGGGGGAAUCACUAAAAAGAAAUGCAAUUAUUUCAUUGGAUUGCUGCCAAAAAGCACUCUUACAGAUAGGCUGACAUCUUCUGGAGGUUAACCACUUAUGUCUGACAGGUGGCCGAACAGGAAUCAUCCUGGGAACUGGUUAUAAUCUAUUUAUUUAAAAAUAUUUAUCAUUUAUUGAGUAAUUACCAUGUGACAGCAAUGCUGGUAAGAGCUUUCCAUACAUUGUUUCAUUUGAUACUUACAUAAUUCUUAUACGUUAUCUCCAUUUUUCAGAUAAGGAAAUGGAGUUAAUUAGAUGUUGAGGUUGAAUUUAAAUCAAAGACUGGUUGAUGCUAAAGCUAAAACCCUUCAGGUUCUAACAGACAGACAGACAGGAUAGACACACACACCCACACAUGCGCAUACACACACACACACACACACACACACACACACAACCUCAUGAUACCUAUGUAAAAUUUGAGUUUCCAAAGCAGGAAAAAAAGUCUGUUUACAAGAGAAAACAUAAUACAAACUGAGAAAUAAGGCCAAUGAAUAGAACUGGCCUAGAAAUCUGUAGAGAAGCAAAGACAGGAAGAUUUUACAGGAAAAAUUUUAGGUGUCCUGAUCUGUUCUAAUUACAUAUCCUUGGAGACACAUGGCCUUUCUGAACCUUAGAUUUCAUAUAUUAAUGAACUGGUCGACUAGAUGAUUUCUCGAUUUCAUUUCAGCAUUAACAUACUUUUUCUUUUUGGAUAGAACUUUUUAUUUAGUCAUUUUGUAUAAAAUCAAACUAAAAAAUUUGUUUUCACCAAACCCCAUAAGAAGUAAAAUUGUUUGCUUCCAAUACGAACAGUAUGUUUCAAAAUCCACCAAGAGAAGCAACUGGCUAGGACCCUGGGAGGCCUGGUCCUCUCACUACUCAAUGCUGUUUAACUUUCAGGGAAAGGCCUCAAAAGCCCCCCCAGUGGUGGGGCAGAGGAGGACUGCGCCACUCAGAGAAGCCAAGGCUGGCAUUGUCCCAGUCCCACUGCCCCACCUGUCCUGCAGCAGGGAGCUUUUCUGGGAGGAAUGAGCCUGGAAGAAGGAAUGUAAAAAACUCACUAGUUUACUAUGUUAAAAAAAAAGAUGGCACAUUUAUUGCUACAUAAAUGUUAUAUACAUAUUGUGUUUUCUGUUACAGUGACAGAAAAAAUUUGAACUUCUUGCUGCUGGUUGAAAGGUUUAUCAAUAAUACCUUGCAUUUGACACAGGAUACAAAUCUGCAAUAAAUCAACAGUGGAAACUGGGGAACAAGAUGAGAAGCAAUUCAUCUCGAACGUUAGCUCUUACAAUACUCCAUAGGUACUACACGGUAUGCUAGAAACCUACUAUGGUCUUAAAAUGCUAUUGUAAAUUUCUGAUAUUAAUGAACAGGUUAUGGUAAAUAACCCUACAUUUUUACUACCUAAUAUAAUAAAAUAAAGUAAGAAACUUUUUACUGAAAACUUUCGAUUUCAAAAAUCUAGAAAGAGUAAUAUUUAGAAUUCAAGAAAUUUUCUUACAAGAUUAUUGUAUAAAAGACUAGCUACAGUGAAAAAUAAGCCAAAUGUUUUUUUCUUUCUAUUUUAUGAAGGAAAGCUUCUGGGCAUACUGCAAAGUCUAAUAUAGCGAAAAAGACAACAAGCUCUGAAGAAAAAGGCCAGGCAGUGCUGUAUGUUCACUCACACAUCAUAAGCAACAACUUCGUUUAGCUGAUUAACACUGAAAUGAAGAACAAGGCCACAGAUAGAGUCUGAUGUAAUUGGAGAAUAUAUGCAAAUUAAGGUAGCCAAAAAGUCCACUAAGUUCACAAACAGUUGAUUUGUUAGGAAAUCAUCCUGAUUGGACGAUCCGAAGUUCCGCCUUAAUUGUUUUUGUUCUUUCAAAUUAACAGAAAUCUUUAAUUUACAUAGUGAUUUGGGUUCUUUCUUCUGUAUGCUGACUGCCCUUGCUGAUGCUAGCUCUGAGAAUUACUAAGCCAAGACAACCUUGUUUAGCAUGUAUUUCUCUCCCAGGUUUGUUGUGGUGGAAGACAGAUUUCAUGGAAGUUCAGUCAUUAUGAUGUCUUAAAAAAUUACUCUGAAAAAUGAGAGAGGUGCCCAGUGCACAGUAUUAAGAUUAACUGACAAGUAUUGGUUUAAUGCUAAUCUGGCUAAUCUUGGGAUGGGGGCUGAUGGUUUGCAGUUGAUUAAAUCACCCACUGAAUUCUCCCCUACCCAUCCAAAUGACAGAGAAUAAAGGUGAGGAGAAGGGGACCUGGUAACCAGUGUUCUUGGACUCCAUCAGGUAAUGAACCUCAAAGUGGUGUGUUCGCUUAUCACACUACCUGCCUUGAUGACUACUUGGUCUUGUUAUAUUCACCAUAAUCAUGGCCUGAAAAAUCAUCUUUGUAUUUUAAAUGAAUUUUGUGCUUACUUACAGCUAACACUUUACAAGUACUAUAUUAUGUAGUACUUACUGCUUGGAAAACAAAGCAAUUUCUAAAAAGUAAAUUCUUCCCUUGUAAUUUACACUUCUUGCUAUUACAAGCUUUACUAUGAAACCUAGAAGCUUGAAAAGUCUUGGUGUUAUUAGAAAUAAAGCAAUGUUUAUUUGUGGGAAAAACCUAAGGAAAAUUUUCCCCUUUUAAAAUCUUAGCUAGGCUAUGGUCACAGAUGGUCUCUGCUCACCACUGUGGAUACAUGUGCAAAGCACACAGGGCUGCAUGGAUGAUUCUGGACUGUGACCAUAACUACUCAGAUUUAGAGACCAAAUGUCACACCCACAGAGAAAAAAAAAUGCAUGAAAAAUGAGAGAAAAUGCUAUACCAAGUAAUAUUUUCCUAUUUCAUGGAAAACACUAUUUAUAUGGCAAAAGGAGAGGAGAGGGCAACAAAAGACUUUUCCCUUCCUUUUUAAGACACUCACAGGUAUGCCGGGAAUGCUAAGGGCCAAUGGUUGUCACUGUUUUGUUCUCUGCAUGGGAACAGCUUUAACAAAUGCUGGCAUCAACCUUUUCCCUUCAUAUGUAGACCUUACAGUUCCAUAGCAAUAAAUAAAAUUUGUAGUUACAAUGCAUUUGUCAAUUCAGUUUAGGCACAAGGCAACUUCCACGAUGAGUGGAGAGAUCGAGACAGUCUCUGAUUGUGCAGAAGCAACACACUGCUUGCAACAAAAUGAUAGGUUGCAAACAUCUCAUGGGUUGACGUUCUAUCUGAUGAGCUUCCUAUCUUCACUUCUGAUGGAAGUGUCGACCAAUUGCUUUGAUCGUAGGUACAUUUGAGUUCCUUGUUUCAAGUGUUUUGUGUUUUCUUCUCCCUCCUGUCAGGUUUGUGUCUUCAGAUAAUCUGAGUUGUCCAAGUCCUUAUGAGGAGAGUUCACCUUCUAUCUAGCCUACUGAUAACUCUGGAACUAUAGCAGGGAGAGAACAGUACCAGUUAGUAGUUAAUGGUUACAAAUGAACACCACCCUUGCCCAAAAUAAAACAAGCUGGCAUUCUUCAUUACACCUAGGUUUUUAAUAAAUUAGUAGUCUGCUAAGAGACUAAGGUAUUAGUCCUCCCUCAUCCAAAAGGAAUUUCCCCUCAUCCCAGGGGAGUACAUCCCCAGGUCCUUAGCAGAUGCCUGAUGCCCGAAACUGUGGACAGUACCACAUCUUACGUGCACUAUAUGCUUUUCCCUAUACAUAAGUACCUAGGAUAAAGUUUAACUUAUAAAUUGGGCACAAUGAGAUGAACAGCAAUAAAUAACAAAAUAUGGUAAUUAUAACAAUACACUAAUGAGCUGGUGCUUUGGGGCCAUUAUAAGAUAAAACACAGAUUCCUUGAACACAAGCAGUGCAGCAGUGCGAGAUAGACGUGAUAACUAGCCCAUCUGCUAAGCAACAAACAGCACACAAGUGUGGCUACACUGCGCAAAGGGAGGAGUCACAUCCCAGGUAGGACAGAGAGAGGGUUCAUUAUACUACUCAGAAUGGCCUAUAAUUUAAGAUUUACACAUUGUUACUUCUGAAAUUUUUCAUGUAACAUUUCUGGACCAUGGUGGACUCUGAGUAACUAAAAUCACAGAAAAGUAAGCCCUCCAAUAAGGGGGGAGCACUCUGAUACAAUUUUACCUGAUGUAUGUGUUAAGAUUUUUUUUUUGGUACCAGGGAUCAAACUUAGGACCUUGCGCUUGUGCAGGGCAGGUGCAUUGCCACUGAGCCAAAUCCCUGG
This 5894-nucleotide long non-coding RNA is filed under the name Heterocephalus glaber (naked mole-rat). RNAcentral's name for it is "lncRNA (ENSHGLG00000038695.1)". The record is from RNAcentral. Lineage: Eukaryota; Metazoa; Chordata; Mammalia; Rodentia; Bathyergidae.